CCUACGGGAGGCAGCAGUGGGGAAUAUUGCGCAAUGGGCGAAAGCCUGACGCAGCGACGCCGCGUGAGGGAUGAAGGUCUUCGGAUCGUAAACCUCUGUCAGCAGGGAAGAACGGUCACUGUGCUAAUCAGCAGUGAAUUGACGGUACCUGCAAAGGAAGCACCGGCUAACUCCGUGCCAGCAGCCGCGGUAAUACGGAGGGUGCGAGCGUUAAUCGGAAUUACUGGGCGUAAAGCGCUCGUAGGCGGUAUGUCAAGUCAAGGGUGAAAUCCCCGCGCUCAACGUGGGAACUGCCUUUGAAACUGGCAAACUGGAGUGUGCGAGAGGAUAGUGGAAUUCCAGGUGUAGGAGUGAAAUGCGUAGAUAUCUGGAGGAACAUCAGUGGCGAAGGCGACUAUCUGGCACAUAACUGACGCUGAGGAGCGAAAGCGUGGGUAGCAAACAGGAUUAGAUACCCGGGUAGUC
RNAcentral lists this ribosomal RNA (465 nucleotides) under uncultured bacterium. Its description in RNAcentral is "partial 16S ribosomal RNA". It matches the Rfam family "Bacterial small subunit ribosomal RNA", at positions 338 to 795 of the family's 1533-position model. The record is from RNAcentral.